Molecule: non-coding RNA, 30 nt
Filed under: Homo sapiens (human)
Lineage: Eukaryota; Metazoa; Chordata; Mammalia; Primates; Hominidae
Source: RNAcentral
UGAUCAUGGUAACAGCAUCCCUAUUGCUUC